UUGAUCCUGGCUCAGAAUCAACGCUGGCGGCGUGCCUAACACAUGCAAGUCGAGCGCGAAAGGGGGGCAACUCCCAAGUAGAGCGGCGAACGGGUGAGUUACGCGUGGGUUAUCUACCUCCGAAUGGGGAAUAACACCGGGAAACUGGUUCUAAUACCGCAUAACAUCGCAAGAUCAAAGCCGGGGACCGCAAGGCCCGUCGUUUGGAGAGGAGCCCGCGUCCGAUUAGCUAGUUGGCGGGGUAAUGGCUCACCAAGGCGACGAUCGGUAGCCGGCCUGAGAGGGCGGACGGCCACACUUGGACUGAGACACGGCCCAGACUCCUACGGGAGGCAGCAGUGGGGAAUUUUUCGCAAUGGGGGAAACCCUGACGAAGCAACGCCGCGUGGAGGAUGAAGGUCUUCGGGUUGUAAACUCCUGUCGACCGGGACGAAAACUAUCUGACCCAAUACGUCAGGUAGUCGACUGUACCGGUGGAGGAAGCCACGGCUAACUCUGUUCCAGCAGCCGCGGUAAUAAGGU
RNAcentral lists this ribosomal RNA (522 nucleotides) under uncultured Acidobacteriota bacterium. RNAcentral describes it as "bacterial SSU rRNA". It matches the Rfam family "Bacterial small subunit ribosomal RNA", at positions 13 to 532 of the family's 1533-position model. Lineage: Bacteria; Pseudomonadati; Acidobacteriota. The record is from RNAcentral.